UACAGAGGGGGCAAGCGUUGUUCGGAAUUACUGGGCGUAAAGGGCGCGUAGGCGGCCUGCUAAGUCGAACGUGAAAUCCCUGGGCUCAACCCAGGAACUGCGUCCGAUACUGGUUAGCUUGAAUCCGGGAGAGGGAUGUGGAAUUCCAGGUGUAGCGGUGAAAUGCGUAGAUAUCCGGAGGAACACCGGUGGCGAAGGCGGCUUCCUGGACCGACACUGACGCUGAGGCGCGAAAGCUAGGGGAGCAAACGGG
Molecule: ribosomal RNA, 253 nt
Filed under: uncultured bacterium
Lineage: Bacteria
Description: partial 16S ribosomal RNA
Rfam family: Bacterial small subunit ribosomal RNA
Source: RNAcentral